This 253-nucleotide ribosomal RNA is filed under the name uncultured bacterium. RNAcentral describes it as "partial 16S ribosomal RNA". It matches the Rfam family "Bacterial small subunit ribosomal RNA", at positions 524 to 776 of the family's 1533-position model. The record is from RNAcentral.
UACGUAGGAGACGAGCGUUGUCCGGAGUUACUGGGCGUAAAGGGUGCGCAGGUGGCGGCGCGCGUGGGGGGUGAAAUCGCCCGGCUUAACUGGGCGGGGGCCUUCCAGACGGCGUGGCUUGAGCAGCGGAGGGGGACGUGGAAUUCCUGGUGUAGCGGUGGAAUGCGCAGAUAUCAGGAGGAACACCGAUGGCGAAGGCAGGUCUCUGGGCCGCAACUGACGCUGAGGAGCGAAAGCAUGGGGAGCGAACAGG